This 342-nucleotide ribosomal RNA is filed under the name uncultured bacterium. RNAcentral's name for it is "bacterial SSU rRNA". It matches the Rfam family "Bacterial small subunit ribosomal RNA", at positions 28 to 377 of the family's 1533-position model. The record is from RNAcentral.
GAUGAACGCUGGCGGCGUGCCUAACACAUGCAAGUCGAGCGAUCUUCUUCGGAAGAGAGCGGCGGACGGGUGAGUAACGCGUGGGUAACCUGCCCUGUACACACGGAUAACAUACCGAAAGGUAUGCUAAUACGAGAUAAUAUGCUUUUGUCGCAUGGUAGAAGUAUCAAAGCUCCGGCGGUACAGGAUGGACCCGCGUCUGAUUAGCUAGUUGGUAAGGUAACGGCUUACCAAGGCGACGAUCAGUAGCCGACCUGAGAGGGUGAUCGGCCACAUUGGAACUGAGACACGGUCCAAACUCCUACGGAGGCGAGCAGUGGGGAAGUAAUUGCACGAUGGCGG